RNAcentral lists this ribosomal RNA (468 nucleotides) under uncultured bacterium. RNAcentral's name for it is "partial 16S ribosomal RNA". It matches the Rfam family "Bacterial small subunit ribosomal RNA", at positions 28 to 507 of the family's 1533-position model. The record is from RNAcentral.
GACGAACGCUGGCGGCGUGCUUAACACAUGCAAGUCGAACGGUGAAGCUCCAGCUUGCUUGCUUUGAUCAUUGGCGAACGGGUGAGUAACACGUGAGCAACCUGCCCCUUUCUCUGUAAUAUGCCCUGGAAACGGCGUCUCAUACUGGAUCCGAUAUAUUUCCCCAUGUGCACUUUUUGUAAAGUUUUUCGGUUGGGGAUGGGCUCGCUGCCUAUCCGCUUGUUUGUGAGGUAAUUGCUCACCAAGCCUACGACGGGUAGCCGGCCUGGGAGGGCUACCGGCCACACUGGGACUGAGACACGGCCCAGAAUCGUACGGGAGGCAGCAGUGGGGAAUAUUGCACAAUGGGCGAAAGCCUGAGGCAGCGACGCCGCGUGAGGGAUGACGGCCUUCGGGUUGUAAACCUCUGUCAGAAGGGAAGAAGAGAAAGUGACGGUACCUGCAGAAGAAGCACCGGCUAACUACGUG